RNAcentral lists this ribosomal RNA (776 nucleotides) under Klebsiella aerogenes. RNAcentral's name for it is "bacterial SSU rRNA". It matches the Rfam family "Bacterial small subunit ribosomal RNA", at positions 61 to 829 of the family's 1533-position model. The record is from RNAcentral. Lineage: Bacteria; Pseudomonadati; Pseudomonadota; Gammaproteobacteria; Enterobacterales; Enterobacteriaceae.
GUCGAGCGGUAGCACAGAGAGCUUGCUCUCGGGUGACGAGCGGCGGACGGGUGAGUAAUGUCUGGGAAACUGCCUGAUGGAGGGGGAUAACUACUGGAAACGGUGGCUUAUACCGCAAAACGUCGCAGGACCAAAGUGGGGGACCUUCGGGCCUCAUGCCAUCAUAUGUGCCCAGAUGGGAUUAGCUAGUAUGUGGGGUAAUGGCUCACCUAGGCUACCAUCCCUAGCUGGUCUGAGAGGAUGACCAGCCACACUGGAACUGAGACACGGUCCAGACUCCUACGGGAGGCAGCAGUGGGGAAUAUUGCACAAUGGGCGCAAGCCUGAUGCAGCCAUGCCGCGUGUAUGAAGAAGGCCUUCGGGUUGUAAAGUACUUUCAGCGAGGAGGAAGGCAUUAAGGUUAAUAACCUUAGUGAUUGACGUUACUCGCAGAACAAGCACCGGCUAACUCCGUGCCAGCAGCCGCGGUAAUACGGAGGGUGCAAGCGUUAAUCGGAAUUACUGGGCGUAAAGCGCACGCAGGCGGUCUGUCAAGUCGGAUGUGAAAUCCCCGGGCUCAACCUGGGAACUGCAUUCGAAACUGGCAGGCUAGAGUCUUGUAGAGGGGGGGUAGAAUUCCAGGUGUAGCGGGAAAUGCGUAGAGAUCUGGAGGAAUACCGGUGGCGAAGCGGCCCCCUGGACUAAGACUGACGCUCAUGUGCGAAAGCGUGGGGAGCAUACAGGAUUAGAUACCCUGGUAGUCCACGCCGUACACGAUGUCGACUUGGAGGUUGUGC